Molecule: ribosomal RNA, 335 nt
Filed under: uncultured Planctomycetales bacterium
Lineage: Bacteria; Pseudomonadati; Planctomycetota; Planctomycetia; Planctomycetales
Description: bacterial SSU rRNA
Rfam family: Bacterial small subunit ribosomal RNA
Source: RNAcentral
CGAAGGCUCCAAAGGAAGUCACGGCUAACUCUGUGCCAGCAGCCGCGGUAAUACAGAGGUGGCAAGCGUUGUUCGGAAUUAUUGGGCGUAAAGAGCACGUAGGUGGGUUUGUAAGUCAGAUGUGAAAGCCUCCUGUUCAACGGGAGAAUUGCAUCUGAAACUACUGAUCUUGAGUAUAGGAGGGGAGAAUGGAACUUCUGGUGGAGCGGUGAAAUGCGUAGAUAUCAGAAGGAACGCCGGCGGCGAAAGCGAUUCUCUGGCCUAUUACUGACACUCAGUGUGCGAAAGCUAGGGGAGCAAACGGGAUUAGAUACCCCGGUAGUCCUAGCCGUAAA